ACUGCAGUAUUUUAAAUCAGAAUCAGAAUCAGAAUCAGAAUCAGCUUUAUUGGCCAAGUAUAGAAUAUAUACAAGGAAUUUGGUUCCAGUGACCUGUGCUCCUAUGUAGAAAAGAUAAAAGAUAAAAAAUAAUAAUAAUAUAAAAAGAUAAAA
Molecule: long non-coding RNA, 153 nt
Organism: Oryzias melastigma (Indian medaka)
Lineage: Eukaryota; Metazoa; Chordata; Actinopteri; Beloniformes; Adrianichthyidae
Exons: 3
Source: RefSeq, a predicted model, not a curated record